UACGGGGGGAGCAAGCGUUGUUCGGAUUUACUGGGCGUAAAGGGCGCGUAGGCGGCUUAACAAGUCACUUGUGAAAUCUCCGGGCUUAACUCGGGACGGCCAAGUGAAACUGUCAAGCUAGAGUGCAGAAGGGGCAAUCGGAAUUCUUGGUGUAGCGGUGAAAUGCGUAGAUAUCGUAAGGAAGACCAGUGGCGAAGGCGAGUCUCUGGACAGUUACUGACGCUGAGGCACGAAGGCCAGGGGAGCAAACGGG
RNAcentral lists this ribosomal RNA (253 nucleotides) under uncultured bacterium. RNAcentral describes it as "partial 16S ribosomal RNA". It matches the Rfam family "Bacterial small subunit ribosomal RNA", at positions 524 to 776 of the family's 1533-position model. The record is from RNAcentral.